Molecule: long non-coding RNA, 1519 nt
Organism: Hipposideros armiger (great roundleaf bat)
Lineage: Eukaryota; Metazoa; Chordata; Mammalia; Chiroptera; Hipposideridae
Exons: 6
Source: RefSeq, a predicted model, not a curated record
UUCACAAUAACUUUACGGGAGCCGGGCAGCGCACCUCCCCGGCCGCUGGGGCGCCGUACGCCUGGCGACUAGCAUGGGUGAAGACAUCGAGGCGCACAUGUUUGUUCCAGUUUCACUUCAGCACCUUCUGGAUUUACAACUUUGCCCAGGUCUGUCAUCAUUGCAGGCAAGAUCCUGUUGUAUGAUGAUGACCAGUAACAGUCUCCAGACCAGAAUUUGAACACACACAUCUUGGAGAUACCUGGGAGCCAGAGGAAAUUCUAUUGUCUGCCAGCCUCAGCUUCUCACCUGCUUUUAACUAAUAUGGAGUCUGGGACCUCUUGGUUUCAUUUAUUGAGUGGUCCACAUACCAGGCAUCGUGGGACAGCUCUCAUAGAAGUGGAGGAGACAGGUGAGGAAACUGAUGCCCAGAAAUGUUAAAGAGAAAACCCCCUUUCUUCAGCAGCUCAGCGACAACUGAUUAGACGGAAGCAAGUUUGCCUGCAUGAGUCUGGAAGUGACAGUUCUUACUAAGAAUAAAGGAAUUAAGAAGACCUUUAUUCUUUUGUCAUAAUAAAAUAGAAUGUUAUUGACUCCUCCAAGGCAGAUGCAAAUUACUUGGACUCCCUUCACCCUGUCUGAACUGAAAAGGAAAUGGAUCUGCAGGUGUCUGUGUAGGGAAAGGGUGGCGGUUUUACCCUUAGGCUAGUUGUGAUAAAUCGCCUGCAGAUUGUAUCCUCAAGGACUUCUGAGUGGACUUGGAACUUGAACCUGGGCUUCCAGUUUUUCAUUCUUGGUGACUCGUAUUAUUUGGGGAAACCCUAUGGGAGUGGAUUGGCCUGAAAUACAACCCUCUCAAAACACCUUGAAUGCCUGGUGUGGGGACAUCCGUGCUACAGAGCUGAGAGUCUUAGCAGCUGCAGCAGCAGGAACAUGUGUUUACAGACCAUGAGUCCCUCUCCUCAAGGUUAUUAAAUACACCAGAGGAUUUUCUCCUUUUUUUACAAGCCCACUAGGCCAAUAGCUCCUGUGCUAACAGUUUAAAAAAAAAAUUAUAUUCAGAGAAAUUGCCUUCAUUUGGGCUAAUAGCAAGGAAAACCUGCCUAAAUUAGGACCUGAACGGAUUUAAAGGAAAAACUGAAACAAAAGGAAUUUAAAAAACAAAACCUCAAAUAUGUACGUAUAUUAAAACGAAGCAGUUACCAGAAUCCUGUACUACUAUACCCAACCCCUGGGGCACACAGUAUCAGCCGAGGUUCAUUAAAGAUACUUGGAAUCAACUAUUUGACGGACAGAGGUUCUUCUGAAAUGCUGAAAAGCACGGUGUUCUAAUAGUGAUAAAAUGCCUCUUCACUCUUAUUAAUUAAAAGAAACUACCAACUUGUCACUGAACAAUUUUACUCCUUUAUAUGGACUUGUGAAAUGGAAUGAGCACAAACUCCAAAUCCUCCUCUAAGUGUUUGGAAAAUAUUUUCUUGAGGGGACAUUCACAGGAUCUCCAUUGUCACAGGAUCUCCUUGCUUCUCACAUACUGGGCCAA